Molecule: long non-coding RNA, 228 nt
Filed under: Elaeis guineensis (African oil palm)
Lineage: Eukaryota; Viridiplantae; Streptophyta; Magnoliopsida; Arecales; Arecaceae
Description: long non-coding RNA (EGUI_LNC055582)
Source: RNAcentral
CGAAUGAAAGCCUAUGCUAAAGUUCAAUUUGGUGCUUAUAGCUUUAUGAAAACUUCUCCCAAACUGGGACAUAAAUAUGGUAUCUCUAUCUGAUACUAUAGAAACUAGAACUAUGUGUAGUCUUACAAUCUGUUCAAUGUACAAACUUGCUAACUUCUCCAAUGACAUCCCAACUCUGAAAGAUAAUAAGUGAGCUAACUUCUUCAGUCGAUUAAUGAUCACCCAUAU